AGUCUGUUCAGAGGAAUUUGCCCCGUUAUCGAUAAUCCUCGUUUUAUCAUACUUGAUUUUGUUAUAUUUCAGUUUGUAUACCGUCGUUAUAAGUUUAUUUUUUAAGAAUUUAAAUUUGCUUUAAAUUUUAUUGGAUUUUAUUUCAGAUCAAGGUGCAGCUAAUAAUUAAGUGGAGGUGAAUUACAAUAUUAUUUGAAUAUUAUGGAUUUUAAAUUAAAUAUUAAUUUAAAUGAAGGUGGAUUUGAUAGUAAUUUUAUUUAUAUAAGUUUUUUGAUUAUUAGUUCUAAAAUAAGUACACAUCGCCCGUCGCUCUAU
RNAcentral lists this ribosomal RNA (315 nucleotides) under Phobaeticus foliatus. RNAcentral's name for it is "partial 12S ribosomal RNA". The record is from RNAcentral. Lineage: Eukaryota; Metazoa; Arthropoda; Insecta; Phasmatodea; Phasmatidae.